AGCAGCCGCGGUAAUUCCAGCUCCAAUAGCGUAUAUUAAAGUUGUUGCAGUUAAAAAGCUCGUAGUUGAAUUUCGGGAUCAAAGAAUCGGUCAUGCCUUGGUAUGUACUGGUUUUAUUGGUUCUCACCUUCUAAAGAACCAUGAUGUCAUUCAUUUGAUGUUAUGGGGAAUUAGGACUGUUACCUUGAAAAAAUUAGAGUGUUUAAAGCAAGCUUACGCUUGAAUACAUUAGCAUGGAAUAAUGAAAUAGGACAUCAGAUUCUAUUUUGUUGGUUUCUAGGAUCGAUGUAAUGAUUAAUAGGGAUAGUUGGGGGCAUUAGUAUUCAAUUGUCAGAGGUGAAAUUCUUGGAUUUAUUGAAGACUAACUACUGCGAAAGCAUUUGCCAAGGAUGUUUUCAUUAAUCAAGAACGAAAGUUAGGGAUCGAAGACGAUCAGAUACCGUCGUAGUCUUAACCAUAAACUAUGCCGACUAGGGAUCGGAUGAUGUUAAUUUUUUAAUGACUCAUUCGGCGCCUUACG
This 520-nucleotide ribosomal RNA is filed under the name uncultured Glomus. RNAcentral describes it as "SSU rRNA". It matches the Rfam family "Eukaryotic small subunit ribosomal RNA", at positions 569 to 1092 of the family's 1831-position model. The record is from RNAcentral. Lineage: Eukaryota; Fungi; Glomeromycota; Glomeromycetes; Glomerales; Glomeraceae.